CAUCGGGACUGGGGUCGGGUGCGGAGUGCCCCUCGUCCCGGGAAACGGGGCGCAGC
This 56-nucleotide microRNA precursor is filed under the name Dasypus novemcinctus (nine-banded armadillo). Its description in RNAcentral is "miRNA (ENSDNOG00000038331.1)". The record is from RNAcentral. Lineage: Eukaryota; Metazoa; Chordata; Mammalia; Cingulata; Dasypodidae.